ACUCCUACGGGAGGCAGCAGUGGGGAAUAUUGCACAAUGGGCGCAAGCCUGAUGCAGCCAUGCCGCGUGUAUGAAGAAGGCCUUCGGGUUGUAAAGUACUUUCAGCAGUGAGGAAGGUGAGUAGUAGUUAAUAGCUGCUAUUAUUUGACGUUAGCUAGCAAGAAGAAGCGACCGGCUAACUCCGUGCCAGCAGCCGCGGUAAUACGGAGGGUGCGAGCGUUAAUCGGAAUUACUGGGCGUAAAGCGCAUGCAGGUGGUUUGUUAAGUCAGAUGUGAAAGCCCGGGGCUCAACCUCGGAAUAUGAC
Molecule: ribosomal RNA, 305 nt
Filed under: uncultured bacterium
Lineage: Bacteria
Description: bacterial SSU rRNA
Rfam family: Bacterial small subunit ribosomal RNA
Source: RNAcentral